CCAUUUCUUUUAUCAAGGGACUUUAUCUUUGCAAGACCUUCAGGAAAUAAAACUGAGCCAUUUCAGGUUAGCAGCCAGAACUUUUUAUUUUGUGCAUUCAGUGGACAAAAAUAUUUAUUCAGCUCAUGUAUGUAUCUCAUAUUUCCAUUUUAUCCACAAUUUUUAUUGUUUUCAAAUGCAAACCAGGGUGUUAUCUAUCGAGUGGUGAGGAGCACAACUGUG
RNAcentral lists this unclassified non-coding RNA (222 nucleotides) under Hevea brasiliensis (rubber tree). Lineage: Eukaryota; Viridiplantae; Streptophyta; Magnoliopsida; Malpighiales; Euphorbiaceae. The record is from RNAcentral.